GAAGUGGUUCCCGGCUCUCCUCCCUGGUGAUAGCGCUGCUGAGGCUGCUGGGUCCCUUGUUUGAUCCUUCUGGCUCCAGAGCGCCGGAGACCUGUCUGCAGGGAUUUUGAUGCUUCUCCCCACGGCGCACAGCCAGUGUUCAUAGCAUCUUCUGGACGAUGGGAUCUCCUACAUGACUAGUGAAUACUGACUGAAGACGCCGUCUGCCACAGAAGAUACAUUUCUCCAGAGGUUCCACAUUGUGAGAAACCAUCAUACAGAGGAUCGUUGAGCUUUCUAGAGAUGGGUUCUUCCUGUGACCAUAUAUGUUCUGUGUUCUUACCCGCACAUAUGACUGAGGAACAGGGCAUGAGACCACACUACAGAUCCUUGGUGAUGGAGUGAAGACAUCACACGUCCCAGCGAGAACCAGAGCGUAGGCUACAGACGGGUCUUACAUAAACAUAAAGGUGAAAGAAGAACAUUACGGUGAAUUUUCAAAGUCUAUAUAGACUCACAGAAAAUGGCUGCCACAUAAAAUAAGAGACACAAGCCGCAUCCAUUAUAAAAUGUAGAGGGAUUAAAGAAUGGAUAUAGCGGAUACACGUCACCGGAAAUGACAUUGCGGAUAAGCACUUCCGACCUGUGGAACGCACGCCGGAGCCGGGACUUCCGGAUAAGCUCUUCUGACUUGUGAAACGCAGCCGGAGCCGAGCCUUCCGGCAGGUUCUAUUCAAUAUGUUUGGACUAAUAUAUGGCAUAGGGAUUCAUUAUGGACUAUAAGAGUAUGUGGGAUUUUAGCUUGAAAGAUAAUCCAUGUCUGGCAUUAGGAAUAACUGUAUGGGGGUUUAUAUGCCCGCCUGGUUGGAUAAGAUCCUCAUACCUUGAAAAAGAAACCUUUAUGGUUUGGAAACACGUUGGUGAGAGGAGGCCCAUCUGACUCUUGGACACACUACCCUGGACGGAAGGCACAGUUCCAGGGACGCCUGUGGUUUCUCUCAUAUUCCUGUGCAAUUGUCUAUAUUCAGUUUGUAGACCAUUCCAUCUGGUAGGAGUCCAAUUGUUUUGCUAUAUGAUAUCUGGGCAUUGUUGUAUGUUUUAAUUGUCUACAAAUCAUGGUAGACCAUUUUUUUCGGU
Pseudophryne corroboree (corroboree frog) is the source of this 1116-nucleotide long non-coding RNA. RefSeq lists it as uncharacterized. The record is from RefSeq and is a predicted model, not a curated record. NCBI's taxonomy places the organism in Eukaryota, Metazoa, Chordata, Amphibia, Anura, Myobatrachidae. The transcript is spliced from 5 exons.